CAAAUUUUAAUUUAAGUUAAAAUAUUUCUUUUACAUAGAAAAUAUAAAUAUUAUUUUAAAUUUGA
RNAcentral lists this transfer RNA (65 nucleotides) under Setodes iuppiter. RNAcentral's name for it is "tRNA-Val". The record is from RNAcentral. Lineage: Eukaryota; Metazoa; Arthropoda; Insecta; Trichoptera; Leptoceridae.